GAUGAACGCUAGCGGCGUGCCUAACACAUGCAAGUCGAGGGAGGAGCCUUGGGGCUUCGUCCGGCGUACUGGUGCGUGACGCGUAGACAAUCUGCCUGUCACAUAGGGUUAGCGCGUAGAAUUAUGGAGUAAUACCGAAGGUUAUAUAGGUUUGGCAUCAGCUUUAUAUUAAUGCUGAGGCAGUGAAGGUUUAGUAUGCGUUCUAUUAGCUAGUUGGAGAGGUAACGGCUACGCAAGGCGACGAUAGUGAGGGGGUCUGAGAGGGAUACCCGCCACACGGGUACUGCGAUACAGACUAGAAUGCUACGGGAGGCAGGAGUGAGGAAUAUUGGACACUGGUCGGUAGAGUGAUACAGCCAUGCGGGGUGCAGGAAGACGGCCAUCUGAGUUGUAAACUGCUUUUGAAGGAGAAGAAUAAAGACUACGCGUAGUUUGAUGACGGUACUUUGCCAAUAAGCAUCGGCUAACUACGUG
This 474-nucleotide ribosomal RNA is filed under the name uncultured bacterium. RNAcentral describes it as "partial 16S ribosomal RNA". It matches the Rfam family "Bacterial small subunit ribosomal RNA", at positions 28 to 507 of the family's 1533-position model. The record is from RNAcentral.